AAGACUAUAGACCUGCGGAGUACCUGCGGAGGGAUCAUUAAAAAAGGGUCUUUUGACCAUUUUUUUAAAACUCACUACCAAUUCUAGCCCAUUGGGUCAGAUGGAAGUGGGUUUUUUCAAACACCAAAAUUUUAAACUAUUCGUCUUAUGACGAAACCAAAAUUAAUAAAUAAAACUUUCAGCAACGGAUCUCU
RNAcentral lists this unclassified non-coding RNA (194 nucleotides) under soil metagenome. RNAcentral describes it as "partial contains 5.8S ribosomal RNA, internal transcribed spacer 2, and large subunit ribosomal RNA". The record is from RNAcentral.